UUUGGGGUCAGGAAAAAAAAAAGAAAAAAAAAAGAAGAGAUACUUGGGCUUUCAGAAAACGCGUGAUUUUGAAAUUCCAGAAAACGCGAAGAACGGCGACUACCUAACGUCUCGAUUUCUCGCUCUCUCUCAUUCUUGGGCUUUCGUUUCUCUUUGUAUUCUAGAGUUUGAUCGUUGAGUUUUGGAUCUUUUCAUCUCUAAUUUGAUGUAUCCAUGGUUAGGUUUCAUCUGUGUUUAUGGUUUUGUUAUGUAAUUUGAUUUCAUUGACUACUGGCUUAUGUUUCUUUCUUUUGAAUUUGGUUUCUGUGAUUUCUACAACUGGGUUAGCUGCAAAUGCCUCAUUUUGGGUUUGGGUUUUUGGAGAAUCAUACACACCAAGCUUGUGAUGAGUUGCAUCCCAGAAAUAUGGAUUGUCUUGAUGAUAUUGUAUAUCUCUGUGAUUGAAUUUGAUAGUGGAUAUGAUUAGUAAGAUGGUUCCGGAGGUAACGAUAUUUUGUUCUUUGUAUUGAGAAGUCCACGGUGUCCAAUACGAAACCUUAGUAUAGAUAAAUCAGCAAGUUAGUCCUUUGCUCGUGAGAAGUCGAAUUAUAUAUAGUAUUUCAGACCAAAAAACAGGGAUAUAUGGAUCAACACACUCUUCUCUAUCCAGUCUCAGUAGCUCGUAUAUAUUGUAUAGCCAUUGCUGUGUUUAUGGUCAUUAAUAGCUUGAUUUCAAAUACAAACCUAAUGUAUGCAAGGGUACAUUGCUCGUCUAGUCACAGUGGAAAUCCUAAUGUUUCACGAUGCUUAAGAACUUCUUCUUCCUUUGUGUAUUGUAGUCAGUUAUUUACUAGUUCACAGUAUGCACAAAUUAUGGCUCCUCGGGAGAAGAGUGGACAAGAAUGAUUCAUUGAUGGGGAUCCUGAUAUCAUCUUCCCCGGCCAUCUACUAUUCUUGAAUUGUUAUUGUCUGCAACAUUUCUUUUCUGGUCAAUCUCUUGAAGUAAGAGGACUGACCUUGCGAGUCUCGGCUUCACUUCUUUCUUGGCUAGUACGUGGAUAUAUGCAGUUGUUCUUGCUGCUUUGGCUGCACCGAGACCUUACUUGAUUACUUGUUUUGCGGUUUCUGUUAGACCUGGGGGUUAGAUUGACUACAAGCUUAAUUUGAUCCUAUUGUUCCUAUUUCACUGUUCAUAUUAGCGUAUCAAACUUGAUGCUGUAUCUUUAAAUUUGAAGUGAAUAUGAUUCUUUUGUAAUACUAAUACCCUUUUGAUCUAAUUUUGAGUACUGGAAUUUCUUGGAUGUGGUUGUGGAAUUGGAACUAGUUCUAGAUUCUGAAUUCCUAGCUAGCUAUUUGAUUCAUUUCUGUAUAACUAGCUGGAUUAGAAGGCAUAUCCCAUCAGAAUCUGAGAUGAUUUCCCAGAUUUGGGUCAUUCUUCUUGAAAGUAUUCAAUGAAAGGUUUGCUCUUGGGCGCCUCCACCUUUAACCCAGUCCCUUCCCCUCCCGUCCUUCCUCCAAACAAUAAUCGUGGUCAGGAAUGUCUUUCAACUGGCGUGUGCGAUGAUAUUUCAUGACAGAUCUAUCCACAUAUGUUACUAGUCAAUCAAUGCCUCGGGAAACUUUGUAGACAUCUAUUGCUUCAAUCGGAGAAUGUGCUAUAGAUACAUGUUUUUCACAAUACUUUCCUCUUAAAGCAGUUCUUGGUGUUCUUUCUUUACGUCUCCUUUUCUUUUUUCUUUCUUUGAUUUUUCUUUCCCAUUUCCAAUGAUUGCUCUUCCUUUUUUUGCUUACAUUAAGAGUUACUUUGUCAGAGAUUCCUUUGUUCUCAAAUUAAAGUUACUGACUAAAAAUUGUACAUCCUUUCAGGUUGGAAAUGUUAAUGUGUUGCGCUGCAGCUACUAUGACCAUGGAGGAGAAAAUAGAAAUUUCCAGAGACGCAUUUAUUCAAUGCUUGAAGAGGACUACAAGAAAUCAAAUUUUCAACCACAACUUGAGACAAAGUAACAAAGUGCAUAAACCUUGAGAUUGGUGAAACCAUUACAAUGUCGCACUGUUAAUCUCUUAAGCAGAGGACUACAAGAAAUCAAAUUUUCAACCACAAAUGGUUAGGUAUUUCAAAGUCCUGAAGCCUCAGAAUAUGGACGGAGGGCUUAGCAAACACCUACCUAUGUAACUCUAAACAAACCAUAUCUUGGCAAGAGAACAAACAUGAUGGCAUGUUCUAAC
This is a long non-coding RNA of Rosa chinensis, 2205 nucleotides long. RefSeq lists it as uncharacterized. The record is from RefSeq and is a predicted model, not a curated record. The transcript has 2 exons. NCBI's taxonomy places the organism in Eukaryota, Viridiplantae, Streptophyta, Magnoliopsida, Rosales, Rosaceae.